Manihot esculenta (cassava) is the source of this 476-nucleotide long non-coding RNA. RefSeq lists it as uncharacterized. The transcript is spliced from 2 exons. NCBI's taxonomy places the organism in Eukaryota, Viridiplantae, Streptophyta, Magnoliopsida, Malpighiales, Euphorbiaceae. The record is from RefSeq and is a predicted model, not a curated record.
GGAUUGGGUUUUACUUUUUGCUAUUGAAUUUGGCCCAUAUGUUAUUGAAACACUGUUAUUUAAUGAUUUAGAUAAUCAGUUACCUUAUUUUGAAGUUCCAUUUUGCAAGAGACAGAAGUAUUGAAGAAGUUAUCAUCUAUGGAUCGGCUGGUUUUAUGUGCUGGAGAUGAUACAGUUCAGAAUGAGUGAAGAGCAUAGUCAACUUCCUGCAUCAGAAAUAGUUUCCAGAGAUGGAUGAUUUGAAUAGAAAAUAGCCCUCUUGAUCAUUUUCGUUUGUUCGAAAUCACAUGUUCAUCAUUAUGAGCAAUUUUAACCUCUAUUAUCACAUCAGACUUGAAAACACUUACUUCAAUUGGGUGUACCAUUUUUUUUUUUUUAUGAAAAAAAAAAAGUCAUAGUGGGUUGGGUGUGAUUGUACAUUUGUUGGGUGAAAUUCAUUUAAUCCAAAUCUUGCUAAGGGUACUCUAUUACUUCCA